Long non-coding RNA from Limulus polyphemus (Atlantic horseshoe crab), 97 nucleotides. RefSeq lists it as uncharacterized. The record is from RefSeq and is a predicted model, not a curated record. The transcript is spliced from 4 exons. NCBI's taxonomy places the organism in Eukaryota, Metazoa, Arthropoda, Merostomata, Xiphosura, Limulidae.
UUGUUCCUUGACUUGUCAGUCAAGUAUGGCCCAGAAGUUUUCGAUGGGGUUCAUGUCAGGAGAUUGGCUCAGCCAGAGUAACUUCUGGAUACCGUUU